This is a long non-coding RNA of Anolis carolinensis (green anole), 3151 nucleotides long. The record is from Ensembl. Lineage: Eukaryota; Metazoa; Chordata; Lepidosauria; Squamata; Anolidae.
AUGGCAUUCAUUGACCCUGCAAAGGCAUUUGACACGGUGAAUCGCAGCGCUCUCUGGACCAUCCUCCAAAAAAUCUGGUGCCCUGACAAAUUUGUGAACAUCCUGCGGCUCCUCCAUGAUGACAUGAUGGCAACAGUCUUGGACAGCAAUGGCUCCCAAAGUGACCCAUUUAAGGUAGAAUCAGGUGUCAAGCAGGGAUGUGUUAUUGCCCCUACCUUAUUUUCCAUCUUCAUCGCUAUGAUACUUCACCUUGUUGAUGGCAAGCUUCCUACCGGUGUGGAAAUCAUCUAUCAGACAGAUGGCAAGCUAUUUAACCUCAGCAGACUGAAAGCCAAAACCAAGGUCACCACAACAUCUAUUAUAGAAUUCCAAUAUGCCGAUGACAAUGUAAUCUGUGCGCAUUCAGAAGAAGACAUACAAGCCACUCUCAACACCUUUGCAGAAGCAUAUGAGAAGCUCGGCCUCUCAUUGAGCAUAGAGAAAACCAAAGUGCUCUUCCAACAGGCACCAGCUACUCCCUCUGCAAUGCCAGGAAUACAGCUUAAUGGUGUAAUAUUAGAAAAUGUUGACUUUUGUGGAGAGGUGGUUGCCAAGGUAGCGGAAAUGGUCAACAUCGACACUGAAAUACAACACCGCCUGAGCUCUGCGAGUGCAGCAUUUUUCCGUAUAAAGCAGAGAGUGUUUGAUGACCGGGACAUCCGUAGAGAUACCAAGGUGCUUGUCUAUAAAGCCAUUGUCCUCCCAACCAUGCUCUAUGCCUGCGAAAUGUGGACUGUCUACAGACAUCACACCAAACUCCUGGAGCGUUUCCAUCAGUGUUGCCUCAGGAAAAUCCUGCAAAUCUCUUGGGAAGACAGGCAGACAAAUGUCAGCGUGCUGGAAGAAGCAAAGACCACCAGCAUUGAAGCAAUGCUCCUACGCCAUCAACUCUGCUGGACUGGCCACGUUGUCCGAAUGCCCGAUCACCGUCUCCCAAAGCAGCUCCUCUACUCCGAACUCAAGAAUGGGAAACAGAAUGUUGGUGGGCAGGAAAAGAGAUUUAAAGAUGGGCUCAAAGCCAACCUUAAAAACUGUGGCAUAGACACUGACUCUUGAGCACUCCAACUGGAGGUCAGCUGUAACCAGCAGUGCUGCGGAGUUCGAAGAGGCCCGAACGGAGGGCUUAAGGGAGAAACGUGCCAAGAGGAAGGCCCGUCAAACCAACCCCGACCGGGACCGCCUUCCACCUGGAAACUGAUGUCCUCACUGCGGGAGAAUAUGCGGGUCAAGAAUAGGUCUCUUCAGCCACCUAAGAACCCACCCCCAAGACACCAAGGAUGGAAGACUAUCGUCCUCGAACUACGAGGGAUCGCCUAAGUAAAGUAAGCUAUAUAUUUGCAAAUAACAAGAAUAACAACAAUCUGUGCCAUUUGGUUCAUUACAUUAGAGAGUGGGUAACUCUGGUUCAAACGCACACUGUGCUUCACCUUAAAACCAAAUUAGUGUUCUGCCUCUGAAGUAUAGUUAGCUUUCCAUAUCCAUGGAUUCUAUAUCAAAAGAUUUCACUAUUAAUGGCUUGAAAAUAUUUUAAAAAAUGAAUUCCUAAAAAUAAGAAUUGAUUUUAUGUAUUAGCGAUAGAAUUUUAUUAUGUUAUUGUAUACAAUGGGACUUGAGCAUCCUGGGAUGUUGGCAUCCAAUGAGGAAGCAGGGGUUCUGGAAGCAAACCUCAGAGAAUAUCAAGGACCCAAUGACCUUUUUAAAACUAUACUUUUUGUUAAAUUUCACAUAGUGUGCACAUAUAACCAAAGCUAGAGCAGGGACUCAAAGUUGAUCCAACCCUUGGAGGUUGGAUCUAUGUUAUGCAGCCUAUAAAAUGAAUUACUUCUCUGUCUGUCUGUGUCUCUCUUUGAAAUCUUGCAUGUCUCAUUCUUUCACAAUAAACAGGAAUGCACAAAACCUUUCUACUCACAAGUGUGUGCAAGAGAGAGAGAGAGAGAGAGAGAGAGAGAAUUUGCACAUUUGCUAGAAGGGUUUUUGUGCCUUAUUCCUUAUCACAUGCACUGUUUAAAAUGGAAAAUAAUUUGAUGCAUUGCUUAUAUUGUUUUGAGCUGUGUGCUUGGGUAGUUUCACAAAGGGGAAAAAACAACUGGGAGGAGCAAAAUAAAGGCAUUGCUGCUGAAAUAAGUGUUUUGCAUCCUAAGUGAACAAUUUCCUGUCUCAGAUUCUAGCAUCACAUUAACUUAAAAUUUCAGUUGAGAAUUUAGAAAUGUAGUUUAAACAUAUGAAGAAAUAGGGCAGUCAAAGUUGCCAGGGGGUGCAUACAAAGCAAAUGUAAGUUUUAACUAUGAAUUUUUUUUGGGCUCAAUUAAAUGCUAGAAAUUUGGGAAGUGGAGGAAAAUUCCAUGAAAAGGAGGCAAAAUGCUUAUUGGGAGGGCAAUCUCUUCAUUUUGUUCUCCUUGCUAUACCACUACCCAUUCCCGCAAAUAGGAAAUAAUGCCCAUACAUGCAGACAACUCUUCACACAACUCUGUUCCCACUAUGGAAGUGAGUCAGAUAACUGUAUGUAUAAGUGUUUUUAGUCAACUCUGCUUCACACAUAUGCUACUGGGUUGUGUUUGCUGUACUGUGUUUGCUCAGAAGGUAUUGUUUUUCUAGCUGUUUACCAUACUACAUCAUACAGGAAUACAUAUUUUGAAAUGUUGAUGACUGUAUUUAUUUCCCAAUUCAAGGGAAUUUUUGCCCACAUCUUCUUACAGCCUGAAAAUAUCAUUUUGAAUAUUGUAAUGAUUUUUUCAUGCUUUUCUCCAGAACAUCAAGGUCAUAGCUAGGACUUGCAGAGAGAAAAUGCAUCCUGCUGAAUAGCUUGCCUGGCUUCUUGGGAGAACUUUUUUUCUUGUAAGUUGUAAAUGUGCAGUUCUAGUAAUAGAUGCUGAUCAUUUCAGAAAAGUGUUCUUUAACUGCUUACAAUGCUAAAGCAAUUUCAAUAACAGAAUUGCAUUUAAUACUGCUAUAUAGUGGUUUCUCCUAACUCGUUUUAAUUUUCUUAUCAACAGCCAUCUCACCCAUUUUCUGGGGGGAAAGAUACCCCUUAUAUUACAUAUUUAAGGUUUUGAAAGAGCAGAGAAUAUUUGCAACAUAAAUAACUUAAUGGCCAUAGAUUUCAGAAUUCGUU